GUCUACUGCCAUACCACCCUGAGUGAGCCUGAUCUUGGAAGCUAAGCAGGCACAGGCCUGGUUAGUACCUAGCCAAGCAGUAGUGGCGC
Molecule: ribosomal RNA, 89 nt
Filed under: Peromyscus maniculatus bairdii (prairie deer mouse)
Lineage: Eukaryota; Metazoa; Chordata; Mammalia; Rodentia; Cricetidae
Source: RNAcentral